Molecule: ribosomal RNA, 895 nt
Filed under: uncultured Corynebacterium sp.
Lineage: Bacteria; Bacillati; Actinomycetota; Actinomycetes; Mycobacteriales; Corynebacteriaceae
Description: bacterial SSU rRNA
Rfam family: Bacterial small subunit ribosomal RNA
Source: RNAcentral
GAGUUUGAUCCUGGCUCAGGACGAACGCUGGCGGCGUGCUUAACACAUGCAAGUCGAACGGAAAGGCCCUGCUUGCAGGGUACUCGAGUGGCGAACGGGUGAGUAACACGUGGGUGAUCUGCCCUGCACUUCGGGAUAAGCCUGGGAAACUGGGUCUAAUACCGGAUAGGAGCCAUUUUUAGUGUGAUGGUUGGAAAGUUUUUCGGUGUAGGAUGAGCUCGCGGCCUAUCAGCUUGUUGGUGGGGUAAUGGCCUACCAAGGCGGCGACGGGUAGCCGGCCUGAGAGGGUGGACGGCCACAUUGGGACUGAGAUACGGCCCAGACUCCUACGGGAGGCAGCAGUGGGGAAUAUUGCACAAUGGGCGCAAGCCUGAUGCAGCGACGCCGCGUGGGGGAUGACGGCCUUCGGGUUGUAAACUCCUUUCGCUAGGGACGAAGCUUUUUGUGACGGUACCUAGAUAAGAAGCACCGGCUAACUACGUGCCAGCAGCCGCGGUAAUACGUAGGGUGCGAGCGUUGUCCGGAAUUACUGGGCGUAAAGGGCUCGUAGGUGGUUUGUCGCGUCGUCUGUGAAAUUCCGGGGCUUAACUCCGGGCGUGCAGGCGAUACGGGCAUAACUUGAGUACUGUAGGGGUAACUGGAAUUCCUGGUGUAGCGGUGAAAUGCGCAGAUAUCAGGAGGAACACCGAUGGCGAAGGCAGGUUACUGGGCAGUUACUGACGCUGAGGAGCGAAAGCAUGGGUAGCGAACAGGAUUAGAUACCCUGGUAGUCCAUGCCGUAAACGGUGGGCGCUAGGUGUGAGGGUCUUUUCACGACUUUCGUGCCGUAGCUAACGCAUUAAGCGCCCCGCCUGGGGAGUACGGCCGCAAGGCUAAAACUCAAAGGAAUUGACGG